Molecule: ribosomal RNA, 229 nt
Filed under: uncultured bacterium
Lineage: Bacteria
Description: partial 16S ribosomal RNA
Rfam family: Bacterial small subunit ribosomal RNA
Source: RNAcentral
UACGUAGGGUGCAAACGUUAAUCGGAAUUACUGGGCGUAAAGCGUGCGCAGGCGGUUCGCUAAGACAGAUGUGAAAUCCCCGGGCUUAACCUGGGAACUGCAUUUGUGACUGGCGGGCUAGAGUAUGGCAGAGGGGGGUAGAAUUCCACGUGUAGCAGUGAAAUGCGUAGAGAUGUGGAGGAAUACCGAUGGCGAAGGCAGCCCCUGGGCCAAUACUGACGCUCAUGCA